This 330-nucleotide ribosomal RNA is filed under the name uncultured prokaryote. RNAcentral describes it as "bacterial SSU rRNA". It matches the Rfam family "Bacterial small subunit ribosomal RNA", at positions 26 to 351 of the family's 1533-position model. The record is from RNAcentral.
AGAUUGAACGCUAGCGGCAUGCCUAACACAUGCAAGUCGAACGGUAACAGGCCCUUCGGGGUGCUGACGAGUGGCGGACGGGUGAGUAAUGCGUAGGGAAUCUACCCACGAGUGGGGGGAUAGCCCGGAGAAAUACCGGAUUAAUACCGCAUAUGCCCUACGGGGUAAAAGCGGGGGGAUCGUAAAGACCGUCGCGCUGGUGGAUGAGCCUACGUCCGAUUAGUUAGUUGGUGGGGUAAAGCCUACCGAAGGCUACGAUCGGUAGCUGGUCUGAGAGGACGACCAGCCACACUGGGACUGAGACACGGCCCAGACUCCUACGGGAGGCAC